GAUGAACGCUGGCGGCGUGCCUAAUACAUGCAAGUCGAGCGGACGGACGAGAAUCUUGCUUCUCUGUCGUUAGCGGCGGACGGGAGUGGCACACGUGUAUAACCCACCUAUAAGACUGGGAUCAUUUCGGGAAACCGGAGCUAACACCGUAUAAUAUUUUGAACCGCAUGGUUCAAACGUGAAAGACGGUCUUGCUGUCACUUAUAGAUGGAUCCGCGCUGCAUUAUCUAGUUGGUAAGGUCACGGCUUACCACGGCAACGAUGCAUAGCCGACCUGAGAGGGUGGUCGGCCACACGGGAAGUGAGAAAGGGCCCAGACUACUACGAGAAGCAGCAGUCGAGAAUCUUACGCAAUGGGCGAAAGCCUUACGGAGCAACGCGGCGUGAGUGAUGAAGGUCUUCGGAUCGGAAAGCUCUGUUAUAAGGGAAGAACAUAUGUGUAAGUAACUGUGCACAUCUUGACGGUACCUAAUCAGGAAGCCACGGCUAACUACGUG
Molecule: ribosomal RNA, 497 nt
Filed under: uncultured bacterium
Lineage: Bacteria
Description: partial 16S ribosomal RNA
Rfam family: Bacterial small subunit ribosomal RNA
Source: RNAcentral